This 73-nucleotide transfer RNA is filed under the name Sus scrofa (pig). It matches the Rfam family "tRNA". From Rfam's summary of the family: Transfer RNA (tRNA) molecules are approximately 80 nucleotides in length. Their secondary structure includes four short double-helical elements and three loops (D, anti-codon, and T loops). Lineage: Eukaryota; Metazoa; Chordata; Mammalia; Artiodactyla; Suidae. The record is from Rfam by way of RNAcentral.
UCCCUGGCAGCCUAGUGGUUAAGGACUGGGCAUUGUCACUGCUGAGGCCCAGGAUCGAUUCCUGGCCUGGGAA